GAUGAAGAACGCAGCGAAAUGCGAUAAGUAAUGUGAAUUGCAGAAUUCAGUGAAUCAUCGAAUCUUUGAACGCACAUUGCGCCCGCCAGUAUUCUGGCGGGCAUGCCUGUUCGAGCGUCAUUUCAACCAUCAAGCCCCCCGGCUUGUGUUGGGGACCUGCGGCUGCCGCAGGCCCUGAAAAGCAGUGGCGGGCUCGCUGUCACACCGAGCGUAGUAGAUCUCAUCUCGCUCAGGGCGUGCUGCGGGUUCCGGCCGUUAAACCACCUUCAUAACCCAAGGUUGACCUCGGAUCAGGUAGGAAGACCCGCUGAACUUAAGCAUAUCAAUUAAGCGGAGGA
Molecule: unclassified non-coding RNA, 338 nt
Filed under: soil metagenome
Description: partial contains 5.8S ribosomal RNA, internal transcribed spacer 2, and large subunit ribosomal RNA
Rfam family: 5.8S ribosomal RNA (bases 1-120)
Source: RNAcentral